CAGCAGCCGCGGGAACACGGAGGGUGCAAGCGUUAUCCGGAUUUAUUGGGUUUAAAGGGUCCGUAGGCGGAUCUGUAAGUCAGUGGUGAAAUCUCACAGCUUAACUGUGAAACUGCCAUUGAUACUGCAGGUCUUGAGUAAAUUUGAAGUGGCUGGAAUAAGUAGUGUAGCGGUGAAAUGCAUAGAUAUUACUUAGAACACCAAUUGCGAAGGCAGGUCACUAAGAUUUAACUGACGCUGAUGGACGAAAGCGUGGGGAGCGAACAGGAUUAGAUACCCGAGUAGUCCCUGUCUCUUAUAC
This 301-nucleotide ribosomal RNA is filed under the name uncultured bacterium. RNAcentral's name for it is "partial 16S ribosomal RNA". It matches the Rfam family "Bacterial small subunit ribosomal RNA", at positions 509 to 807 of the family's 1533-position model. The record is from RNAcentral.